CACUCCAAAUUCAUAAAAUAUUUAACUUUUAGAAACUUUUUUUGACAGAUAAAUUAAAGAUUAGUACUGUAGGGCUUUACAUCUCUAUGCAUUUAGCUCCCAUUGCUUCUGUUGCCUGUUGAUUUAGACUUUACAUGAAUACAUCUUGUGGCACG
Molecule: long non-coding RNA, 155 nt
Organism: Sander lucioperca (pikeperch)
Lineage: Eukaryota; Metazoa; Chordata; Actinopteri; Perciformes; Percidae
Exons: 3
Source: RefSeq, a predicted model, not a curated record